UACGGAGGAUGCAAGCGUUAUCCGGAUUCAUUGGGUUUAAAGGGUGCGUAGGCGGACCUGUAAGUCAGUGGUGAAAUCCUGCAGCUUAACUGCAGAACUGCCAUUGAUACUGUGGGUCUUGAGUUCGGUUGAGGUAGGCGGAAUGUGUAAUGUAGCGGUGAAAUGCUUAGAUACUACACAGAACACCGAUUGCGUAGGCAGCUUACUGGACCGAUUACUGACGCUGAGGCACGAAAGCGUGGGGAUCAAACAGG
Molecule: ribosomal RNA, 254 nt
Filed under: uncultured bacterium
Lineage: Bacteria
Description: partial 16S ribosomal RNA
Rfam family: Bacterial small subunit ribosomal RNA
Source: RNAcentral